AAGCUAGCGUCCAUUAUAUAUGUAUAUACAUGUAUACUUAGUAAUUUAAUACUACUGUUAAGCAGUGAUACUUAAACAACGCUAACUGGAAGAAUAAUCCGGCUGGAAAUAUAAGCCCAUCUUAAUCGUCUCUUCAAACGAAUGGCUGUGUGCAUAAAGACUUCAUACAAUUUGUCUGUGUUAUGUAAGAUAAAACCGGGCAACAUUUAUCACUAAUUUACAUGCAAAUUCCUUUAAUGUUUAACAAUAAAAAAGAUCGCGUUGCAUUUCCAUUUUACGAUUACGUCAACGUGUGGAUAUCGUUCGUACCAUUUUCCAGUCCCGACCGCAGCGGGUCAGCCUCGUCCUUCCUUGAACAGCACAGCCGCAUACUUUCGUCUUUUACGUCUCUUUCCUGGGAACAUCGCGAAUGAAAAAUGAUGCCAGUCGCGCGCGUCGGACUUGGGCGGGCAUUACAUAAAGAAACGAGAUCAGUUCGCCGUGUGAAGGCGGCUACAGAAAGCUUUUUCCCAUAAAAAGUAUCAGAAAAGAGAGGGGAAGAGAGAGAGAGAGAAAGAGAGAGAGGAACUGCCCUCGGAAACGACUUCUCCACCGAGUAGCUGGAGCUAUCCCGGCGGUAUAUAAACAACGCAUGCAUAUAACGACGAUGUUGCAGGUGCUGGAAGUUAGCGGCCCAGCGGCAAAUAAUGCAAAAAGUAUGACGUAUUAGAAACAGGAUUAUCAGAGCGUAAUAAUUAUUGAGGAACCGAAAAAAGAAGUGUAAAACUGUGCGCAAUGUGAAGUAUUACGCGUACAACAUGGAAUGAUAAAACACGGAUUGGAUAAUCGUUUUGUAUGGAGUCUCGUCGAUCCGUUCUUGACUUUUUGAUUUACGGCAUUAAAUCAUUGCGUGUGUGCAACGAUUACCUGUACGAUUACAAUGUGAACCUGUAUGAGGAUGUUAUCGUAAAAAAAGUAUUUUUGUAAACACCGUGUGUAUAUUGAACACACGCAUAAUAAAUCUCUGUUUUACAGAGAUUUCUGUCAUCAGGAGAAAUUUCAAUGCUUUCCCGAAGGCUGCGUGCUGACCUCUCGCAAGCACGCGGUUAACUUCUAUGUAUGGCACGUGGCUAUUGAUUUCCCAACGGUACCGGAAACCGGAAAACCGCUGCGCUCAAAAGAGAGAAACCGAAAAGAAAAUCGUAACGCCGAACUAGAUAAAGUAAUCUUCCAAUUGUGCCAGAUAGCUGAAACAAUUGUGCAGUUUAUCCCAUUGCGUCACGAGAUACUGUUUUAACCAUGUCGAGCGGUGAAAUGCACAAAGGGAGUAAUUACCGGCACGUAUUCGGUUUUACGAUACCAUUCUAAUGUUGCAUUAAACGCACGCCGCUGUCUGCGAAAGUCUUCAGUGAAGUUUAUCCAUUCCCGCGAUUUACGCGAGACAGGCAUUGUUUUCGUGAAAACGAGGUUUACGAGAAACUAGACAAUGUUUUAAUAAAUUAAUGGAGCGUGUAUUGAUAUUCCGAUCAUUACCCGCGCGAGGUGACUCGAGAAAGUUACCGUGAACCAAAUAGUCCAAGUUAAUCUCGAGGACGUUGAGGAGAUUUACGUACUUUGCCUUUAGAAUGCACGGCACACGAAUGGAGCGACAGAAUGAGCCAUUAGUUCUACGACUCUUUUUCUUUUUAUAUCCUUUUAAUUUGCGAACGGAGGAUCUUCCACGUGAUAGUCGAGCUGUCACGCGAUUUCUCAUGGAUUCUAAGUAUCACAAUGGAAUAUUAGGAGAUGCGAAUAUUUGAA
Long non-coding RNA from Mycetomoellerius zeteki, 1779 nucleotides. RefSeq lists it as uncharacterized. Lineage: Eukaryota; Metazoa; Arthropoda; Insecta; Hymenoptera; Formicidae. The transcript is spliced from 4 exons. The record is from RefSeq and is a predicted model, not a curated record.